AAAGGAACUAAAGUGAUGGUCUUUGAGAAGAAUGUCACUGAACCAACUCUGGAAAUCCUCAGUCCAUCACAAGAUGAACUUUGCAAAAGGAAUCGGGUGACACUGAUUUGUCUAACGACUGAUUUUUAUCCUGACCACAUAACUAUUACCUGGGAUUUGCCACAACUGAACGAGCCAACAAGAAUUAAAACUGACACCCCAGUGCUGAAUGGCCACACAAAGUUGUAUGGUGUCAGCAGCCGGUUAAGAGUGCCAAAAAGUGUCUGGUGCAACCCUGAUAACAAGUUUACCUGCAUUGUGACAUUUGGCAUGGAAAAUGGAACUGAGACUUACAGGAGAUCUAUACACGGAUCACAAGAUUGUGUGAAGAGGACAGAAUCAGUUAAGAAAAACAGCAAAACUGUGACAUUUGCAUAUCUAAUAUUUAUUGGAAAAAGUGUGCUGUAUGGAUUCCUACUUACAAUUGUUUUGUGGAAAACAAAGCUGCACUCAAAAGAUUUCCAAUGAUGAAUGAACCUGAAAUCAUUGUUUUCUUAAUCUCAAUAUAAAAUUUAUGUUUGCAUUUAUCAAAAGUAUUAUUUUCAUUUUCUGCACUGAUUAAUACAAAUGGCAUUUGUUGAUUUUUUAUAUCAUUUUACAUUAAUUUUAUUUCUCUUCUUUAUGCUUUACUUCACAUAAGCCUUGUUUCAUAACAAAACUGAAAGUUGCUUGUAUUUUUAGUAUAGUAUGCAAUUUUAUUAACUAUUGUGUUUUAACUGUCUCGAAUUGUCACGUCCAGUGUAUUAAAAAUGGCUUAUGAAUUUUA
Non-coding RNA from Polypterus senegalus (gray bichir), 805 nucleotides. Lineage: Eukaryota; Metazoa; Chordata; Cladistia; Polypteriformes; Polypteridae. The record is from the annotation of a RefSeq genome assembly.